AUAAAAUAUAGGGAGAUGUGGUAUGAUUGCCAUGGCUGAUUGACAAAUUCAAAGAUAGGUAUAUCACAUAAAAUAUAGGAGAUUGGUAUGAUUGCCAUGCUGAUGACAAAUUCAAAGUAUAUCAAUAAAAAUAAUAGAUGUCGGUAUGAUUGCCAUGGCUGAUUGACAAAUUCAAUGAUAGUAUACACAUUAAAUAUAGGGAUGUGGUAUGAUUGCCAGGCUGAUUGACAAAUCAAAGGAUAGGUAUAUCACAUAAAAUAUAGGAGAUGUGGUUAUGAUUGCCAUGCUGAUUGACAAAUUGGAUAUCACAUAAAAUAUAGGAGAUGUGGUAUGAUUGCCAUGGCUGAUGACAAAUUCAAAGAUAGGUAUAUCACAUAAAAAUAGGAGAUGUGGUAUGAUUGCCAUGGAAUUGACAAAUUUCAAAGAUAGGUAUAUCACAUAAAAAUAUGGAUUGUUGAUGAUGCCAUGGGCUGAUUGACAAUUCAAAGAUAGGUAUAUCACAUAAAAUAUAGGGAGAUGUGGUAUGAUUGCCAUGGCUGAUUGACAAAUUCAAAGAUAGGUAUAUCACAUAAAAUAUAGGGAGAUGUGGUAUGAUUGCCAUGGCUGAUUGACAAAUUCAAAGAUAGGUAUAUCACAUAAAAUAUAGGGAGAUGUGGUAUGAUUGCCAUGGCUGGUUGACAAAUUCAAAGAUAGGUUUAUCACAUAAAAUAUAGGAAGAUGUGGUAUGAUUGCCAAUGAGACAACUAUCCACCAAAGUUAAAAGAAGUGGAUUUAAACAAUCAUAGGCAA
This 789-nucleotide long non-coding RNA is filed under the name Mytilus galloprovincialis (Mediterranean mussel). Lineage: Eukaryota; Metazoa; Mollusca; Bivalvia; Mytilida; Mytilidae. The record is from RNAcentral.